AAUGUUUUCACUGUGCACAUACUGUGUAAAAAAACAAAAAACAAAACAAACCCAAACAAACAGAAACCUUUAGAUGACUUUUAUUUAUUACUUAAUUACUUCUGUAUAGUAUGAAUAGCAAUGAGGUAGGUCUUCAGCCAUCAGUAAAAAUUUUGUAAAAUGUAUGAAAAUAGAGUUUGAAGUCCAAACUUUAUGCGCUCAUUCACAUUUUCCAGUACCAUCUAGUGGUUUGGAUUAGAGUCUUUGCCGGGACAAUUCUGGGCCCCGGGCCUUAUGUUUGACAACCCUAUCCGACAGCAUCGAGGGCUCAGCUGAUAAACCUCCCCACAUGUAGCAAAUCUUACAUGCAGCAUGCAGUUUUAUUUCCUUUUUAAAUUGCUGCUGCCCUGCAAUCUGCUUUGCAACCCACCUCCGCUACAGAUGCCUCUUUUCAAGCUCUUCCUGACUUCUUAUAUAACUGAUGCCUGUUCUGUAUUGCGUUAUGCUUGCCGCACUAGUCACUGGCCGCAAGCACUGUGACUUUAAAACCGCCACAAAAACAUUUAUAGCGAUGCUUGAGGCGUGCUUGACUCUGAUGACACAAAAGAAGAAGUUGAAACAGGAAACAAAGCGAUUGCUUAGGUUUUUUUCUUCCUCCACAGAAUGUCUCAUCUUUUCUAACUGAUGCAACACUCUCUCCCUCAGUUUUCUGGAAAUAUCUGUGGUCCUGCAUUAACACUGAAAUGCAUGUAAAGCCAGACCAUUUGUAAGGGUAACAGCACUAAGCAUAAACUGCCAGUUAGGCUUUGCAUGUCCACAUGUACCAUAUCCUCAAAUCACUGCAACAGAAAACAACCAUCUUGUGAAUAAACUAGCCCUGAUUGAGCUGCUAAACCACAGCUUAUUUUUCCACUAUAUUCAUUGACUUUAUUUAUUAAUGCAUCACCACUGCAAAGCACAAAGGCGCACGCGCACAGAGAUGUGGCAGAUCCUCGAAACCUCCAGAGACUGAGCGACUUUGCUGACUGAUGUUCUGAUGCAAUCCGGGGGAAUUAAGGAAGCUUUAAACUGUGACCUCAGUGAUGCUGAUGCUGUGAGGCGAGGGGUGCUGCUCUGUCUGAAGCUGACAAGUUAACACCAGAGGAGGCUGGUGGAAAUGAUAGAGACAGCCCAAUAACCCGAUGAAUUUCCAGUCAGAGCAUCGAAUGAGCAGCAGAGGGAACAACGAGAUGACCUUUGAAAGUCAUAAAAAGGUCCUUCAACCACCAAAUUAAUUUUAUGUGUUGAGGAAAGGGAAGCACGGGCGUCACCUUCUCAGUCAGAUAAAGGAAAACAACAGGAAUCAGAUGCUUAAAUCCACAUCUGGAACAUGUGUUAUGCCAAAGCCAUGUAUAUGAACAGAUGCAGCAACAAGAGAGCAGACAUGACAAAUUACCUCCGCUCUCUGAGGACCGCAGGGGUCGACGAAGCGUGUGUGACUUAUGUAACAUCGUGAUGUAAUGAUGUUGUUUCUCAAAGCCCAGAAAUGUUUUUUUUUUCUCCCCCAAGAGAUAAAGUCCACCGCCCCAGUA
Molecule: long non-coding RNA, 1550 nt
Organism: Haplochromis burtoni (Burton's mouthbrooder)
Lineage: Eukaryota; Metazoa; Chordata; Actinopteri; Cichliformes; Cichlidae
Exons: 2
Source: RefSeq, a predicted model, not a curated record